Molecule: ribosomal RNA, 429 nt
Filed under: Chloroflexota bacterium
Lineage: Bacteria; Bacillati; Chloroflexota
Description: Chloroflexi bacterium partial 16S ribosomal RNA
Rfam family: Bacterial small subunit ribosomal RNA
Source: RNAcentral
UGGGGAAUAUUGCACAAUGGGCGCAAGCCUGAUGCAGCCAUGCCGCGUGUGUGAAGAAGGCCUUCGGGUUGUAAAGUACUUUCAGCGGGGAGGAAGGGAGUAAAGUUAAUACCUUUGCUCAUUGACGUUACCCGCAGAAGUAGCACCGGCUAACUCCGUGCCAGCAGCCGCGGUAAUACGGAGGGUGCAAGCGUUAAUCGGAAUUACUGGGCGUAAAGCGCACGCAGGCGGUUUGUUAAGUCAGAUGUGAAAUCCCCGGGCUCAACCUGGGAAAUGCAUCUGAUACUGGCAAGCUUGAGUCUCGUAGAGGGGGGUAGAAUUCCAGGUGUAGCGGUGAAAUGCGUAGAGAUCUGGAGGAAUACCGGUGGCGAAGGCGGCCCCCUGGACGAAGACUGACGCUCAGGUGCGAAAGCGUGGGGAGCAAACAGG